GAAAAUGGAAAGUGACUCUGGGUCGAGAGCUCUAGGCUCUAAAAUAGGAAAUAAUGACUCUGGGUCGAAAUGGAAAGUGACUCUGGGUCGAGAGCUCCGGGCUCUAAAAUAGGAAACAAUGACUCUGGGUCGAAAUGGAAAGUGACUUUGGGUCGAGAGCUCUGGGCUCUAAAAUAGGAAAUAAUGACUCUGGGUCGAAAUGGAAAGUGACUCUGGGUCGAGAGCUCUGGGCUCUAAAAUAGGAAACAAUGACUCUGGGUCGAAAUGGAAAGUGACUCUGGGUCGAGAGCUCUGGGCUCUAAAAUAGGAAAUAAUGACUCUGGGUCGAAAUGGAAAGUGACUCUGGGUCGAGAGCUCCGGGCUCUAAAUAGAUAGCCGAUCAGGAUACUUUCCGACUCAAGGUGUCGGGUCGAGGCCACUCACAAGUGGCUAGAAUGAUGUAAAUGACUCUGGGUCGUGAGCUCAGGGCUCGGGGUGCUAUAAAUGACUCUGGGUCAAGAUGGAAAAUGACUCUGGGUCGAGAGCUC
RNAcentral lists this long non-coding RNA (527 nucleotides) under Vitis vinifera (wine grape). Its description in RNAcentral is "long non-coding RNA (VVIN_LNC008071)". Lineage: Eukaryota; Viridiplantae; Streptophyta; Magnoliopsida; Vitales; Vitaceae. The record is from RNAcentral.